UAUGAUGUGAUCUUGGGCUGAUUUAUGAAGUUCUGGACAUGAAAAAUAUUUAGAAAUAAACCCAUGAUGUUAGGUAACAUGUCCAUCCCUGGAGUUACAAGCCCAAGAAGAAUCAAAAUCAAGUGGUUUCUUUGCUGUCCAAGAAAAGUGACGAAAAUCAAAAACUAAAUUGCAUGGAAAGCUUCUUUCUCUUGCAUGCAAGGAUUGCUUCUUCCAAGAACCUUCUCUCUCCUCCAUGCAUUGUUUUGUGAUUUCCUAUGUAUUAAUUAUCUAGCUUUCUCAACAAGUUUAGUUUCUUAUAAAUAAGGUGUAAUCUCUAAUGAAAUAAACUAAGAUUUGAGUGAUUAGUUUUGGAACCUUGAGGGUGAUUCUCGGUUUUCUUUCAAUGAUGUGUAAUAUCCAUUGAUAUGUUCGAUCUGUCUUGGUGCGUCAUAUCCAAGGGAUCAAACCGAUUAAUCCUGGUGCGUCAUAUCCAGGGAAUCAUCCUCAUUGUCGUCUAGGUGCGUCAUAUCCUAUGGCAUUUAGUUGGAAUAUCGAAGGCCUUCCGCAUCCUUCGUGCGACCAUUCACUCCACAUCCCUUGUCUUUGAAGCUUUACGGUUUCAUAGCAGCAAGGAUUAUCCCCUUUACCAACUUAGAGUGUCGACUCCUCGGGAGUUUUUCAUCAUUUGGUAUCAGAGCAACACUCUGAGUUUGGUAUUCACUUCUAUUAUCCACCAUUCUCAUCUAUCCAUCGUCAACAAAAAAAAGAGUUUUAUUAUUUAUGUUCUACAAAUCUGCUGGAUCUUUUUGAAGUGUGUGUUCAAGUUUUAUUUCUUGAGAGAGCAAGAUUUGAGGACAAAUCUUUUUGAAGAGAAGGAGUAUGAUGUGAUCUUGGGCUGAUUUAUGAAGUUAUGGACAUGAAAAAUAUUUCGAAAUCAACCCAUGAUGUUAGCUAACAUGUCCAGCCCAUUUUAUGGAAUUACAAGCCCAAGAAAAAUCAAAAUCAAGUGGUUUCUUUUCUGUCCAAGAAAAGUGACGAAAAUCAGAAACUAAAUUGCAUGGAAAACUUCUCCUCCUGCAUGCAAUGAUUGCUUCUUCCAAGAACCUUCUCUUUUCUCCAUGCAAUGUUUUGAUUUCCUAUGUAUUAAUUAUAUAGCUUUCUCAACAAGUUUAGUUUCCUAUAAAUAAGUUGUAAUCUCUACUGGAACAAAAUAAGCUUUUGAGUGAUUAUUUUUGGAACUUUGAAAGUGAUUCUCACUUUUCUUUCAAUGGUGUGAUAUCCAUUGAUCUUUUCGAUCCGUCUUGGUGCGUGAUAUCCAGGGAAUCAUCCUCAUUAUCGUCUAGAUGCGUCAUAUCCUAGGGCAUUGAGUUGGAAUAUUGAAGGCCUUCUGCAUCCUUCGUGCGGCCAAUCACUCCACAUCCCUUGUCUUUGAAGCUUUACGGUUUCAUAGCAGCAAGGCUUAUCCCCUUUACCAACUUAGAGUGCCGACUCCUCGGGAGGUUUUGAUCAUUUGGUAUCAAAGAAACACUCUGAGUUUGGUAUUGACUUCUAUAUCCAUCAUUCUCAUCUAUCCAUCUUCUACAAAAAAAAAAAGAGUUUUAUACAUUUAUGUUCUACAAAUCUGCUGGAUCUUUUGGAAGUGUGCGUUGAAAUUUUCUUUCUCCACGGAGCAAGAUUUGAGGACAAAUCUUUUUGAAGAUGAGGAGUAUGAUGUGAUCUUGGGUUGAUUUAUAAAGUUCAGGACAUGGAAAAUAUUUAGAAAUCAACCCAUGAUGUUUGGUAACAUGGCCAGCCGAUUUAUGGAGUUACAAGCCCAAGAAAAAUCAAAAUCAAGUGGAUUCUUUGCUGUCCAAGAAAAGUGACGAAAAUCAGAAACUAAAUUGCAUGGAAAUGUACUCUCUCCUGCAUGCAAGGAUUGCUUCUUCCAAGAACCUUCUCUCCCCCUCCAUGCACUGUUUUGUGAUUUCCUAUGUAUUAAUUAUCUAGCUUUCUCAACAAGUUAAGUUUCCUAUAAAUAAGUUGUAAUCUCUAAUGGAAUAAAAUAAGCUUUUGAGUGAUUAUUUUUGGAACAGUGGGAGUGAUUCUCAUUUUUCUUUCAAUAGUGUGUAAUAUCCAUUGAUCUUUUCGAUCCGUCUUGGUGCGUCAUAUCCAGGGAAUCAUCCUCAUUGUCGUAUAGGUGCGUCAUAUCCUAGGGCAUUGAGUUGGAAUAUUGAAGGCCUUUUGCAUCCUUCGUGCGACUAUUCACUCCACAUCCCUUGUCUUUGAAGCUUUACGGUUUCAUAUCAACAAGGCUUAUCCCCUUUACCAACUUAGAGUGCCGACUCCUCGGGAGGUUUUCAUCAUUUGGUAUCAGAGCACACUCUGAGGUUGGUAUUGACUUAUAUAUCCAUCAUUCUCAUCUAUCAAUCUUCUACAAAAAAAAAUAAUUUUAUACAUUUAUGUUCUACAAAUCUGCUGGAUCUUUUGGAAGUGUGUGUUCAAGUUUUCUUUCUCCAUAGAGCAAGAUUUGAGGACAAAUAUUUUUGAAGAGGAAGAGUAUGAUGUGAUCUUGGGCUGAUUUAUGAAGUUAUGGACAAGGAAAAUAUUUAGAAAUCAACCCAUGAUGUUAGGUAACAUGUCCAGCCCAUUUUAUGGAGUUACAAGCCCAAGAAAAAUCAAAAUCAAGUGGUUUCUUUGCUGUCCAAGAAAAGUGACAAAAGUCAGAAACUAAAUUGUAUGGAAGGCUUCUAUCUCCUGCAUGCAAGGAUUGCUUCUUCCAAGAACCUUCUCUCUCCUCCAUGCACUAUUUUGUGAUUUCGUAUGUAUUAAUUAUCUAGCUUUCUCAACAAGUUUAGUUUCCUAUAAAUAAUUUGUAAUCUCUAAUGGAAUAAAAUAAGCUUUUGAGUGAUUAUUUUUGGAACCUUUAGAGUGAUUCUCCCUUUUCUUUCAAUGGUGUGUAAUAUCCAUUGAUAUUUUUGAUCCGUCUUGGUGCGUCAUAUCCUAGGACAUUGAGUUGAAAUAUUGAAGGCCUUUUGCAUCCUUCGUGCGACCAUUCACUUCACAUCCCUUGCCUUUGAAGCUUUACGGUUUCAUAGCAGCAAGGCUUAUCCCCUUUACCAACUUAGAGUGCCGACUCCUCAGGAGGUUUUGGUAAUUUGGUAUCAAAGCAACACUUUGAGUUUGGUAUUCACUUCUAUAUCCAUCAUUCUCAUCUAUCCAUCUUCUACAAAAAAAAAAGAGUUUUAUACAUUUAUGUUCUACAAAUCUGCUGGAUCUUUUGGAAGUGUGUGUUCAAUUUUUCUUUCUCCAGAGAGCAAGAUUUGAUGACAAAUCUUUUUGAAGAUGAGAAGUAUGAUCUGAUCUUGGGCUGAUUUAUAAAGUUCAGGACAUGGAAAAUAUUUAGAAAUCAACCCAUGAUGUUAGGUAACAUGUCCAACCCAUUUUAUGGAGUUACAAGCCCAAGAAAAAUCAAAAUCAAGUGGUUUCUUUGCUGUCCAAGAAAAGUGACGAAAAUCAGAAACUAAAUUGCAUGGAAAGGUACUGUCUCCUGCAUGCAAGGAUUGCUUCUUCCAAGAACCUUCUCUCUCCUCCAUGCACUGUUUUGUGAUUUCCUAUGUAUUAAUUAUCUUGCUUUCUCAACAAGUUAAGUUUCCUAUAAAUAAGUUGUAAUCUCUAAUGGAAUAAAAUAAGCUUUUGAGUGAUUAUUUUUGGAACUUUGGGAGUGAUUCUCAUUUUUCUUUCAAUAGUGUGUAAUAUCCAUUGAUCUUUUCGAUCCGUCUUGGUGCGUCAUAUCCAGGGAAUCAUCCUCAUUGUCGUAUAGGUGCGUCAUAUCCUAGGGCAUUGAGUUGGAAUAUUGAAGGCCUUUUGCAUCUUUCGUGCGAUUAUUCACACCGCAUCCCUUGUCUUUGAAGCUUUACGGAUUCAUAUCAGCAAGGCUUAUCCCUUUUACCAACUUAGAGUGCGACUCCUCGGGAAGUUUUCAUCAUUUGGUAUUAGAGCAACACUCUGAGUUUGGUAUUCACUUCUAUAUCAAUCAUUCUCAUUUAUCCAUCUUCUACAAAAAAAAGAGUUUUAUACAUUUAUGUUCUACAAAUCUGUUGGAUCUUUUGGAAGUGUGUGUUCAGGUUUUCUUUCUCCAUAGAGCAAAAUUUGAGGACAAAUGUUUUUGAAGAGGAGGAGUAUGACGUGAUCUUGGGCUGAUUUAUGAAGUUAUGGACAAGGAAAAUAUUUAGAAUUCAACCCAUGAUGUUAGGUAACAUGUCCAGCCCAUUUUAUGGAGUUACAAACCCAUGAAAAAUCAAAAUCAAGUGGUUUCUUUGCUGUCCAAGAAAAGUGACAAAAGUCAGAAACUAAAUUGUAUGGAAGGCUUCUAUCUCCUGCAUGCAAGGAUUGCUUCUUCCAAGAACCUUCUCUCUCCUCCAUGCACUGUUUUGUGAUUUCCUAUGUAUUAAUUAUCUAGCUUUCUCAACAAGUUUAAUUUCCUC
RNAcentral lists this long non-coding RNA (4445 nucleotides) under Brassica napus (rape). RNAcentral's name for it is "long non-coding RNA (BNAP_LNC021146)". Lineage: Eukaryota; Viridiplantae; Streptophyta; Magnoliopsida; Brassicales; Brassicaceae. The record is from RNAcentral.